Molecule: transfer RNA, 77 nt
Filed under: Coxiellaceae bacterium
Lineage: Bacteria; Pseudomonadati; Pseudomonadota; Gammaproteobacteria; Legionellales; Coxiellaceae
Description: tRNA-Arg
Rfam family: tRNA
About the family: Transfer RNA (tRNA) molecules are approximately 80 nucleotides in length. Their secondary structure includes four short double-helical elements and three loops (D, anti-codon, and T loops).
Source: RNAcentral
GUGCCUGUAGCUCAGUUGGAUAGAGCAUUGGCCUCCGAAGUCAAAGGUCGCUGGUUCGAAUCCAGUCAGGCACACCA